AACCCCAGUCAAUAAACUUACGGCGUAAAACGUGUUUAAGGAACCUAUUCAUAAAGUCAAACUUUAGCUACGCCGUAAAAAGCUCCAGCUACUGUAAGCCCCAGCACGAAAGUAACUUUAAUAUACCUGAACACACGACAGCUAAGGCCCAAACUGGGAUUAGAUACCCCACUAUGCUUAGCCAUAAACCUAAAAAGCCUCCCCCAACAAGGCCUUUCGCCAGAGUACUACUAGCCAAAGCUUAAAACUCAAGGGACUUGGCGGUGCUUUACAUCCCCCUAGAGGAGCCUGUUCUAUAAUCGAUAAACCCCGAUAAACCUCACCAACCCUUGCCAACU
RNAcentral lists this ribosomal RNA (338 nucleotides) under Vampyriscus bidens. Its description in RNAcentral is "Vampyressa bidens partial 12S ribosomal RNA". It matches the Rfam family "Bacterial small subunit ribosomal RNA", at positions 536 to 989 of the family's 1533-position model. Lineage: Eukaryota; Metazoa; Chordata; Mammalia; Chiroptera; Phyllostomidae. The record is from RNAcentral.